This 207-nucleotide ribosomal RNA is filed under the name uncultured bacterium. RNAcentral describes it as "partial 16S ribosomal RNA". It matches the Rfam family "Bacterial small subunit ribosomal RNA", at positions 568 to 774 of the family's 1533-position model. The record is from RNAcentral.
UGCGUAGGCGGCUUCUUAAGUCGGAUGUGAAAUCCCUGAGCUUAACUUAGGAAUUGCAUUCGAUACUGGGAAGCUAGAGUAUGGGAGAGGAUGGUAGAAUUCCAGGUGUAGCGGUGAAAUGCGUAGAGAUCGGGAGGAACACCAGUGGCGAAGGCGGCCUACUGGGCUUUAACUGACGCUGAGGCACGAAAGCAUGGGUAGCAAACA